CAGUAGCCGCGGGAAUAUGGAGGUGGCAAGCGUUGUCCGGAUUUAUUGGGCGUAAAGCGAGCGCAGGCGGUCAAUUAAGUCUGAUGUGAAAGCCCCCGGCUCAACCGGGGAGGGUCAUUGGAAACUGGGAAACUUGAGUGCAGAAGAGGAGAGUGGAAUUCCACGUGUAGCGGUGAAAUGCGUAGAGAUGUGGAGGAACACCAGUGGCGAAGGCGACUCUCUGGUCUGCAACUGACGCUGAGGAGCGAAAGCGUGGGGAGCGAACAGGAUUAGAUACCCGCGUAGUCCCUGUCUCUUAUAC
RNAcentral lists this ribosomal RNA (301 nucleotides) under uncultured bacterium. Its description in RNAcentral is "partial 16S ribosomal RNA". It matches the Rfam family "Bacterial small subunit ribosomal RNA", at positions 509 to 807 of the family's 1533-position model. The record is from RNAcentral.